Non-coding RNA from Paramuricea clavata, 582 nucleotides. NCBI's taxonomy places the organism in Eukaryota, Metazoa, Cnidaria, Anthozoa, Malacalcyonacea, Plexauridae. The record is from the annotation of a GenBank genome assembly.
GCCAUAUUUUUUAAAGCCACAAGAUUUUUACCAUAUAUAUUUUACUCCUAAAUAGUUUGGAACAUAUAACUUUUUCUGAACUACGAACUAUAUGUGCAGGCUAAUUUGAGAAUAAACACUGUCAGUUGUUUUUAAAAUACGAAUGCUGUUCUAUUUCGGCCAAUUCAUUUCUCAAACUCUGGUUCAUCCAGCAACGCUUCGGAUCUUUUCCAACGAUAAUUUUUCUUCCUGCCAAGCAACUGAAGCCAGUUUGGCGAGUGUCCACUUUUUGAGUCCAUGGGACUUCUAUUUCCACCCGCCAAAUUAUAACACAUAUAUGGACGGUACCAACAUCUACCAUCAAAUGACGUAACGUAAUUGGUUUCUAUGGCAACGAGGCAGCAAAUCACGAACAGUUUGAGAAACAUUUUUACCAAUCAACUAUAAGAUAAAUGAAGUAUAGAUAUCUAAUGUGCAAUCGUAUGUUUCAUGACCGAAUUUUAAGGAGGAAGGGUGCGCCUUACUGAAGUUAACACAUCUGUUCUUACUUAAUCUAUGACGUAGUGAUGUGAUUCCAAUUAACGCGCGCGCAUCCAAGACAAG